Molecule: ribosomal RNA, 464 nt
Filed under: uncultured bacterium
Lineage: Bacteria
Description: partial 16S ribosomal RNA
Rfam family: Bacterial small subunit ribosomal RNA
Source: RNAcentral
CCUACGGGGGGCAGCAGUGGGGAAUCUUCCGCAAUGGGCGAAAGCCUGACGGAGCAACGCCGCGUGAUCGAAUGAAGGCCUACGGGUUGUAAAGAUCUGUUGACAGGGACGAAUAAACGAUGCGAAUAGUUUUGUGUAUGACGGUACCUGUUUAGAAAGCUCCGACUAACUACGUGCCAGCAGCCGCAGUAAGACGGAGGGAGCAAGCGUUGUCCGGAAUUGCUGGGCGUAAAGGGCGCGUAGGUGGGCGAUUAAGUCAGGUGUGAAAACGUCGGGCGCAACCUGGAGCAUGCACUUGAAACUGGGUGUCUUGAGGGCAGGAGAGGAAAGUGGAAUUCGUAGUGUAGCGGUGAAAUGCGUAGAUAUUAGGAGGAACACCAGUGGCGAAGGCGACUUUCUGGACUGUAACUGACGCUGAGGCGCGAAAGCGUGGGUAGCGAACGGGAUUAGAUACCCUGGUAGUC